RNAcentral lists this ribosomal RNA (213 nucleotides) under uncultured bacterium. Its description in RNAcentral is "partial 16S ribosomal RNA". It matches the Rfam family "Bacterial small subunit ribosomal RNA", at positions 524 to 731 of the family's 1533-position model. The record is from RNAcentral.
GACAGAGGUCCCGAGCGUUAGGCGGAAUCACUGGGCUUAAAGCGUGUGUAGGCGGAUCGUUAAGUGCCUUGUGAAAUCCCAACGGCUUAACCGUGGAACUGCUUGGCAUACUGGCGGUCUUGAGCCACUUAGGGGCAACCGGGAACAAAAUGGUGGAGCGGGUGAAAUGACGUAGAUAUCGUUUGGAACGCCAAUGGUGAAAACAGGUUGACU